RNAcentral lists this ribosomal RNA (439 nucleotides) under uncultured bacterium. RNAcentral describes it as "partial 16S ribosomal RNA". It matches the Rfam family "Bacterial small subunit ribosomal RNA", at positions 339 to 795 of the family's 1533-position model. The record is from RNAcentral.
CUACGGGCCGCAGCAGUGAGGAAUAUUGCACAAUGGAGGAAACUCUGAUGCAGCAACGCCGCGUGGAGGAUGACGCAUUUCGGUGUGUAAACUCCUUUUAUAUGUCAAGAAAAUGACGGUAGCAUAUGAAUAAGCUCCGGCUAACUCCGUGCCAGCAGCCGCGGUAAUACGGAGGGAGCAAGCGUUACUCGGAAUCACUGGGCGUAAAGGACGCGUAGGCGGGAUAGAAAGUCAGGUGUGAAAUCCUAUGGCUCAACCAUAGAACGGCACUUGAAACUUCUAACCUAGAGUAUGGGAGGGGAAGAUGGAAUUAGUGGUGUAGGGGUAAAAUCCGUAGAUAUCACUAGGAAUACCAAGAGCGAAGGCGAUCUUCUGGAACAAUACUGACGCUAAGGCGUGAAAGCGUGGGGAGCAAACAGGAUUAGAUACCCCAGUAGUC